GUCUUCGUGGAGUACGAAACUCGCUCCCUCUUCAUGUUCCUUCAAGUUGCUGUGCAGGGAGAGACGGUGGUUCGAAUCCCCCCGAAGACG
Non-coding RNA from Mycena galericulata, 90 nucleotides. Lineage: Eukaryota; Fungi; Basidiomycota; Agaricomycetes; Agaricales; Mycenaceae. The record is from the annotation of a GenBank genome assembly.